UCAUACUCAACCACCGCGCACCACUCGCUAUUUUGUAUCAUCACUAUCCUGAAACGCGAGAUCAUCUGGCAAUACACAUCCAUAUAGAUAACUAGUAAAAAGUUGAUUGAAAAUGAAUCAAGCCAAGACAUCAUCUCGUCGUACAAAAUAUAUGUAACCACACUACUAUUGCAUUCUG
Molecule: small RNA, 178 nt
Filed under: Cryptococcus neoformans H99
Lineage: Eukaryota; Fungi; Basidiomycota; Tremellomycetes; Tremellales; Cryptococcaceae
Description: Cryptococcus neoformans var. grubii H99 hypothetical RNA
Source: RNAcentral